Molecule: non-coding RNA, 501 nt
Filed under: Pongo abelii (Sumatran orangutan)
Lineage: Eukaryota; Metazoa; Chordata; Mammalia; Primates; Hominidae
Source: RNAcentral
GCGGGGCUGGGAAAAUUGCUGCCUGCGUCGGCUGGGCCUGUGGGCUUGUAGGCCUGCGUCCGGCAGCGCGCGGCCGUGCUUUCUAAGCGGGCUCGGUAGCACCAGACUUCACCGGCCCGGCGCGGGGCUCGAAAGUGCUCGCACUCCCUGCGGCCAGCGCGCUGACCGGAGCCUCUGGGUCUCGCACGCAGCAGCUGCAGACGCUGCCCGGCGCGGUGGGGCUGAGAGCAAAACGGCCCGCCAGUGUGGUUGCCCAGACAGUGCUGGGCCCUCCUAGGUGGAUGGCCCUGCCCCAGCCUAACUUCUGUACCCCAGCAUAACCUCCAAAGCAACAGCCGUGCCCUGGGAGCCUGUUCAACACUGAACAUAUCCCACAAUAACACAGUUCCAGCGUCGCUGGUAAAAAGCAGAAAUGGCUUUGCCGCAGUCAUCCAUAAAUCUAAUGCAGUAACCUCAUUUUACAGAAGAGAACUCUAAGAGGAUAACUAAUUUGGCCAAGAU